CUUGACUUGACCAGUGGGGACUUUGUCAGAAAAUCUCUCUCUUGCAUAAUUCAACACACUAGCUACAACAGUGUCAUGAAACUGGAAAAAAAUGGUUGGAUACUUUCAGGAGGACUACCAAGGGGCUAGUGACUGGCUGGCUACUUUUAGGAGGACUAGUGACUGGUUGGCUACUUUUAGGAGGACUAGUGACUGGUUGGCUACUUUUAGGAGGACUAGUGACUGGUUGGCUACUUUUAGGAGGACUAGUGACUGGUUGGCUACUUUUAGGAGGACUAGUGACUGGUUGGCUACUUUUAGGAGGACUAGUGACUGGUUGGCUACUUUUAGGAGGACUAGUGACUGGUUGGCUACUUUUAGGAGGACUACCAAGGAACUAGUGACUGGUUGGCUACUUUUAGGUGGACUACCAAGGGGCUAGUGACUGGUUGGCUACUUUUAGGUGGACUACCAAGGGGCUAGUGACUGGUUGGCUACUUUUAGGUGGACUACCAAGGGGCUAGUGACUGGUUGGCUACUUUUAGGUGGACUACCAAGGGGCUAGUGACUGGUUGGCUACUUUUAGGAGGACUACCAAGGGGCUAGUGACUGGUUGGCUACUUUUAGGUGGACUACCAAGGGACUAGUGACUGGCUUCUUCAAGGCUGUUACUUCCAUGUCUUAACUCCUACUAUUCUGUAGAUUGACUGCUCUUCUCUGAGGACAAUGUAUGUUACUAACUGCUCUCCUCCUUCCCUCUCCUCCUUCCCUCUCCUCCUUCCCUCUCCUCCUUCCCUCUCCUCCUUCCCUCUCCUCCUUCCCUCUCCUCCCUUCCCUCUCCUCCCUUCCCUCUCCUCCCUUUCCUCUCCUCCCUCCUCCCUUCCUCUCCUCCCUCCUCCCUUCCUCUCCUCCCUCCUCCCUUCCUCUCCUCCCUUCCCCUCCCUCCUCCCCUUCCCGUCCUCUCCUCUCUUCCCCGUCCUCUCCUCUCUUCCCGUCCUCUCCU
RNAcentral lists this long non-coding RNA (982 nucleotides) under Salmo salar (Atlantic salmon). RNAcentral describes it as "lncRNA (ENSSSAG00000119990.1)". Lineage: Eukaryota; Metazoa; Chordata; Actinopteri; Salmoniformes; Salmonidae. The record is from RNAcentral.